ACAAAAAAAAAAAAGAAGAGUAAGUUCAGCAGCAGACUUUGAUUCUGGAGAGUGCUUAUGCCUGACGAAUGGUAAUCUUAUUACUUAAUGUUUGGAAAAACCCAUUUUUAAGCCCCUCAACUGUACAUGUUUUUGGUUUUUGCUAUUGAUCCCUCUGAGAAUUAUUACUUCCAAUUAAGCCCCUGAACUGUUAUUUUUGGUUACUUUGAGAACUUUUUAAUGGACAAUAAAAAAAAAAAUAUUAGG
RNAcentral lists this unclassified non-coding RNA (246 nucleotides) under Hevea brasiliensis (rubber tree). Lineage: Eukaryota; Viridiplantae; Streptophyta; Magnoliopsida; Malpighiales; Euphorbiaceae. The record is from RNAcentral.